Molecule: unclassified non-coding RNA, 305 nt
Filed under: uncultured Tricholomataceae
Lineage: Eukaryota; Fungi; Basidiomycota; Agaricomycetes; Agaricales; Tricholomataceae
Description: sequence contains ITS2
Rfam family: 5.8S ribosomal RNA (bases 1-52)
Source: RNAcentral
AACGCACCUUGCGCUCCUUGGUAUUCCGAGGAGCAUGCCUGUUUGAGUGUCAUUAAAUUAUCAAUCUCUUCAACUUUUUCACAAGAGCUGAAUGGGAUUGGAUGUGGGAGUUGGAGGCUUGUCCAAAGUCUGCUCUCCUUAAAUGCAUUAGCUGGAACCUUUUUGUGAACCUACAAUGGUGUGAUAAUUAUCUACGCUGUUGCUGUGACGCAAUAUAAAUACAGAGGUUUUGCUUCCAACAGUCCAUUCAAUUGGACACUUGACAAUUUGACCUCAAAUCAGGUAGGACUACCCGCUGAACUUAA